UAAAGGAGUUCUCAGAAAUCCCAAGCUGAACAUAUUCCAGAACAUGACUUUCUCUUUAAUAGGCUCUCUGCCAGAAUGACACAUUGCUCUGGCUCACUGGAGUCAUUUAUAAACUGCCCUUUUUCACUCUGUUCCUUCCUGCAACAUUCCUGCUUCCAUCGACCGGCACCGAGGGAUAGUACGACUCAUGCAUGCCUCCCUUCCAUGCUGGAAGCCAAGGCAGCAUCCAUGAGGUUCCCUGAGAGUCCCAUCCAGACAUUGGCCAGACCAUACCUGUUUAGCUUCAGCAAGGCUACUUCCUUACAAGUCUUCAUGGCUCUGAAUUGGACAUAGUGGCCAAGAUCCAAAAUAAGUGAGGUUUCAUCAGAGUGAUGAACAGCAGAACCUGCUGGAAUGUUCAACAUCUGGCCCCAAGAAGGAAUUACAACUUUAAAGUCAAUUUUGCUAUGAUGGUAAAAUCUAAAAGGAAGGGAGUAUUGAAACAUUUUCUGUGGCUAAAUGGAAUUUUGGUGCAUUGUUAGGCUAUGAAACAGUCACCAGCCUGAACAUAGCUGCCAACUGUGCAGUUUGUUCAGUAAAGUUUAUGCUAGUGCUUGAAGUAACUGAAAGGGAUCUGAGCAGUUAUUCCCCAGCAACAGGCUAUGACAGCAGCAUCCAUUAAUUUGAUGUUAUCGCUGAACGCUUGGAGUGGACACAUUACUGCAGUUGGAUCUUCAUUUCAAAUGUCUGUAUAUUGAUAGGAAAUGAAGGAAAAAUUACAGCACUGAGUAUUGCCGCAAUGCAGGGAGAUGAGCUAAUGGAACAUCACUGUGCAUGCAUCCCGUGCAAGUUGAUUGCAAAAGAAGAGAAGCGAGCUUGUUGCCAGCUCCAGAAGUGUAGCCCUGAUGGGUGCAACCUUUCCCCAGUGACUGUGAAAAUCUUGAUAAAGAUAGUGAUGAGGCACUUCAGUGAAGCUUAAAUUCUAAGCCUUGGGUUUGCCCUCCCACACACUUUAGGUGGGCAGGCAAACCACAGUCUGUCAUUUGCGAAGUCAAAAAGCACAGGGUACAUUUAAUUACUGUGUUAGCACUUGAAAACAGUUUCUGUGCCAAGAACUGGUUGCUGUGUGUGUGUGUGUGUGUGUGAGAGAGAGAGAGAGAGAGAGAGAGAGAGAGAGACUCUGUGUGUGUAUUUGUCCCCCUCUCUUGGUUGUUACUCUGCUGUCCUUUUGUGGUGACUUCACAACAGGAUAAUCCUGCACCUGGGAUCUGAGCUAUACAAGGAAGAGUUUAGGAAUAUGUUAUGAAAAGCCAUUUCAUGUAA
Hemicordylus capensis (graceful crag lizard) is the source of this 1302-nucleotide long non-coding RNA. RefSeq lists it as uncharacterized. The transcript has 4 exons. NCBI's taxonomy places the organism in Eukaryota, Metazoa, Chordata, Lepidosauria, Squamata, Cordylidae. The record is from RefSeq and is a predicted model, not a curated record.